UGAAUCUAAGGAUGCCCUCAACGAUUCCA
This 29-nucleotide non-coding RNA is filed under the name Mus musculus (house mouse). Lineage: Eukaryota; Metazoa; Chordata; Mammalia; Rodentia; Muridae. The record is from RNAcentral.